This 712-nucleotide ribosomal RNA is filed under the name uncultured Acidobacteriota bacterium. Its description in RNAcentral is "bacterial SSU rRNA". It matches the Rfam family "Bacterial small subunit ribosomal RNA", at positions 8 to 699 of the family's 1533-position model. Lineage: Bacteria; Pseudomonadati; Acidobacteriota. The record is from RNAcentral.
AGAGUUUGAUCCUGGCUCAGAAUCAACGCUGGCGGCGUGCCUAACACAUGCAAGUCGAACGCGAAAGCCCCGCAAGGGGCAAGUAGAGUGGCAAACGGGUGAGUAACACGUGGGUGACCUGCCUUCGAGUGGGGGAUAACGUCCCGAAAGGGACGCUAAUACCGCAUGACAUCCUGCCUUUGGAGAGGUGGAGAUCAAAGCCGGGGAUCGCAAGACCUGGCGCUUGAAGAGGGGCCCGCGGCUGAUUAGCUAGUUGGUGGGGUAAUGGCCCACCAAGGCCACGAUCAGUAUCCGGCCUGAGAGGGCGGACGGACACACUGGGACUGAGACACGGCCCAGACUCCUACGGGAGGCAGCAGUGGGGAAUUGUUCGCAAUGGGCGCAAGCCUGACGACGCAACGCCGCGUGGAGGACGAAGAUCUUCGGGUCGUAAACUCCUGUCGAGCGGAACGAAUACUCUCGGGGUCAAUACCCUCGAGGGUUGACGGUACCGCUAAAGGAAGCCCCGGCUAACUCCGUGCCAGCAGCCGCGGUAAUACGGGGGGGGCAAGCGUUGUUCGGAAUUACUGGGCGUAAAGGGCUCGUAGGCGGCCAACUAAGUCGGAUGUGAAAUCCCCAGGCUCAACCUGGGAACUGCAUCCGAUACUGGUUGGCUUGAAUCCGGGAGAGGGAUGCAGAAUUCCAGGUGUAGCGGUGAAAUGCGUAGAUAUCU